UUAAGUGACUAAGCGUACACGGUGGAUGCCUUGGCAGUCAGAGGCGAUGAAGGACGUAUUAACUUGCGAUAAGCCCAGAUUAGGUAGUAAAAACCAUUUGAGUCUGGGAUUUCCGAAUGGGGAAACCCACUAGCAUAAGCUAGUAUCGCUGCGUGAAUACAUAGCGCAGCGAGGCGAACCGGGGGAACUGAAACAUCUAAGUACCCCGAGGAAAAGAAAUCAACCGAGAUUCCGAAAGUAGCGGCGAGCGAAAUUGGACUAGCCCUUAAGCUUUUUAUGCGUCAGGUGAAACUUCUGGAAAGUUGUGCGAUACAGGGUGAUAGCCCCGUAACCGGCAACGCAUUUAAAGUGAAAUCGAGUAGGGCGGGACACGUGAUAUCCUGUCUGAAUAUGGGGGGACCAUCCUCCAAGGCUAAAUACUACUGACUGACCGAUAGUGAACCAGUACCGUGAGGGAAAGGCGAAAAGAACCCCUGUGAGGGGAGUGAAAUAGAACCUGAAACCGUGUACGUACAAGCAGUAGGAGCACCUUCGUGGUGUGACUGCGUACCUUUUGUAUAAUGGGUCAGCGACUUAUAUUCAGUGGCAAGGUUAACCAUCUAGGGGAGCCGUAGGGAAACCGAGUCUUAACUGGGCGUUCAGUCUCUGGAUAUAGACCCGAAACCAGGUGAUCUAGCCAUGGGCAGGUUGAAGGUUGAGUAACAUCAACUGGAGGACCGAACCGACUAAUGUUGAAAAAUUAGCGGAUGACUUGUGGCUAGGGGUGAAAGGCCAAUCAAACCUGGAGAUAGCUGGUUCUCCCCGAAAGCUAUUUAGGUAGCGCCUCGGACGAAUACUACUGGGGGUAGAGCACUGUUAAGGCUAGGGGGUCAUCCCGACUUACCAACCCUUUGCAAACUCCGAAUACCAGUAAGUACUAUCCGGGAGACACACGGCGGGUGCUAACGUCCGUCGUGGAGAGGGAAACAACCCAGACCGCCAGCUAAGGUCCCAAAUUACUACUAAGUGGGAAACGAUGUGGGAAGGCUCAGACAGCCAGGAUGUUGGCUUAGAAGCAGCCAUCAUUUAAAGAAAGCGUAAUAGCUCACUGGUCGAGUCGGCCUGCGCGGAAGAUGUAACGGGGCUAAGUAGUAAACCGAAGCUGCGGCAAUGCACUUUAGUGCAUUGGGUAGGGGAGCGUUCUGUAAGCGGUUGAAGGUGUGUGGUAACGCAUGCUGGACGUAUCAGAAGUGCGAAUGCUGACAUGAGUAACGAUAAAGGGGGUGAAAAACCUCCUCGCCGGAAGACCAAGGGUUCCUGUCCAACGUUAAUCGGGGCAGGGUAAGUCGACCCCUAAGGCGAGGCCGAAAGGCGUAGUCGAUGGGAAACGGGUUAAUAUUCCCGUACUUCUUACAAUUGCGAUGGGGGGACGGAGAAGGCUAGGUGGGCCUGGCGACGGUUGUCCAGGUUCAAGUGCGUAGGCUUAAGAGUUAGGUAAAUCCGGCUCUUUCUAAGGCUGAGACACGACGUCGAGCUACUACGGUAGUGAAGUCAUUGAUGCCAUGCUUCCAGGAAAAGCCUCUAAGCUUCAGAUUGUAAGGAAUCGUACCCCAAACCGACACAGGUGGUCGGGUAGAGAAUACCAAGGCGCUUGAGAGAACUCGGGUGAAGGAACUAGGCAAAAUGGUACCGUAACUUCGGGAGAAGGUACGCUCUCGACGGUGAAGUCCCUUGCGGAUGGAGCUAUUGAGAGUCGCAGAUACCAGGUGGCUGCAACUGUUUAUUAAAAACACAGCACUGUGCAAAAUCGUAAGAUGACGUAUACGGUGUGACGCCUGCCCGGUGCCGGAAGGUUAAUUGAUGGGGUUAGACUUCGGUCGAAGCUCUUGAUCGAAGCCCCGGUAAACGGCGGCCGUAACUAUAACGGUCCUAAGGUAGCGAAAUUCCUUGUCGGGUAAGUUCCGACCUGCACGAAUGGCGUAAUGAUGGCCACGCUGUCUCCACCCGAGACUCAGUGAAAUUGAAAUCGCUGUGAAGAUGCAGUGUACCCGCGGCUAGACGGAAAGACCCCGUGAACCUUUACUACAGCUUGGCACUGAACAUUGACCCUACAUGUGUAGGAUAGGUGGGAGGCUUUGAAGCACAGUCGCUAGAUUGUGUGGAGCCGUCCUUGAAAUACCACCCUUGUAGUGUUGAUGUUCUAACGUUGACCCCU
This 2194-nucleotide ribosomal RNA is filed under the name Vibrio harveyi NBRC 15634 = ATCC 14126 = KCTC 12724. RNAcentral's name for it is "bacterial LSU rRNA". It matches the Rfam family "Bacterial large subunit ribosomal RNA", at positions 1 to 2236 of the family's 2925-position model. The record is from RNAcentral. Lineage: Bacteria; Pseudomonadati; Pseudomonadota; Gammaproteobacteria; Vibrionales; Vibrionaceae.